This 1080-nucleotide ribosomal RNA is filed under the name Melanotus okinawensis. RNAcentral describes it as "partial large subunit ribosomal RNA". Lineage: Eukaryota; Metazoa; Arthropoda; Insecta; Coleoptera; Elateridae. The record is from RNAcentral.
UUAAGGAUCUUAUUAUUAUUAUUAUUAUAUUUUGAAAUUAUUCUUUAUUUUAUUAUUUAUUUUGAACAAAGGAUUUUUAUUAUAGUGAAUUAGUAAAGUGGUUGAAAUUAUGAAUUAAUUAUUAUUUUUAAGAAAGAAGAUUUUAUUUUUUGUACCUUGUGUAUCAGGGUUGAUUUAAUAUAAUUUAUUUAUUUAAAUUUCCCGAAUUAAGAAGAGCUAUGAAAAUAUUUAUUUGAUUGUUUCAUAAAUUUUUAUAAUAUUUUUGUAGUAAUGAAACGUUAUUCGUUUCUUAAUAUAUCUGGUUUUUUAAGAAAAGAAUUUAAUUCUAUUAUUUUUUAUUAAAGAUUAUUUUUUUAAUUUUUAUAUUAAAAUAUUAAAUAUUUUUAGGGAUGAGCUUAAAAAUAUAAUACUAAAAGAUUUUAUGUUUUGUUUAAUUAGUAUAAUUAGAAUUGUUAAACUUUAGAAUAAUUUUAUAGUUAUUUUUGCUUGAAUUUUAUUUUUAUUUUUUUUAGUUUUUAUAUUAAAAUAUUUUUAAUAAUUUUGUUUGAUUAGUAAUAUUGAUUAAAUUAGUAAAUUUUGAUUGUAUUUUUAUUUAUAGUUGUUAGGUUGAAAGAAGGAAUUCGGCAAAAAUGUUUUUCGCCUGUUUAAUAAAAACAUGUCCUUUUGAUUAUAAUUUAAGGUCUGACCUGCUCAAUGAGUAAUUAAAUUGCCGCGGUAUUUUGACCGUGCAAAGGUAGCAUAAUAAUUAGUUUUUUUAUUGAAAGCUGGAAUGAAUGGUUGGACGAGAGAACUACUGUCUCUUUUCAAUUUUAUUUUUAAUUUAACUUUUAAGUUAAAAGGCUUAAAUUUUUUUUAAAGACGAGAAGACCCUAUAGAGUUUUACAUUUCUUAGUUUAUUUUCUUUUUGGUAUUUAAAAUGUUUUAAUUUAAGAUUUGUUUGGUUGGGGUGACCAGAAGAUUGGAUAAACUCUUCUAUUUAAAUCAAUGAUUUUUGAAUUGAUAAUCUAGAUUUUCUAAAUUUAAGAUAAAUUACCUUAGGGAUAACAGCGUAAUUUCUUUUUAGAGUUCUUAUUGAAAGAG